CCUACGGGUGGCAGCAGUGAGGAAUAUUGGUCAAUGGGCGGGAGCCUGAACCAGCCAAGUCGCGUGAGGGAAGACGGUCCUAUGGAUUGUAAACCUCUUUAGGCGGGGAGCAAUGCCGGGCACGCGUGCCCGGAGGGAGAGUACCCGCAGAAUAAGCAUCGGCUAACUCCGUGCCAGCCGCCGCGGUAAUACGGAGGAUGCGAGCGUUAUCCGGAUUUAUUGGGGUUAAAGGGUGCGUAGGCGGAUUUUUAAGUCAGCGGUAAAAUGUCCGGGCUCAACCCGGGCCGGCCGUUGAAACUGGGGAUCUUGAGUGGGCGAGAAGUAUGCGGAAUGCGUGGUGUAGCGGUGAAAUGCAUAGAUAUCACGCAGAACUCCGAGUGCGAAGGCAGCAUACCGGCGCCCGACUGACGCUGAGGCACGAAAGCGUGGGGAUCGAACAGGAUGAGAUACCCGAGUAGUC
This 460-nucleotide ribosomal RNA is filed under the name uncultured bacterium. RNAcentral's name for it is "partial 16S ribosomal RNA". It matches the Rfam family "Bacterial small subunit ribosomal RNA", at positions 338 to 795 of the family's 1533-position model. The record is from RNAcentral.